GGGCGCCCGUCUCGGUCCGCGCCCCGCGCCGCCCCAGCCCCUCGGCUGCCUCCGGACGAGGUCUCGGACGCGAUGAAGUGCCCCCGGAUUUUGGCAGCUGGGGAGGGGAGACCCCCAUCAGGGCCCCGCUGCGGGGACACGGGGGCUCAGCCCCGUUACGAGCCACCGGAGAGUCUACGGGGGGGGAGAGGUGCGCGAGCCGUGGUGCUCGGGGGGCCCGUGGCCCUUUCCUUGCUUGUUCACUGCUUUUGGCCCCAAAUUUUCCCUCCUGACCUAUGGGCUGAAAUUUUUCCAUUUAUGGCAAAUAGCAAAAAAUAAGCCCCAAAACCUCAAACUUGCCGCCUGCCCCAUCCCGGGGCCUGGAGGAACCCGCGGCCGGGGAGGGCCCCGGCGUCCCCCGGCCCUCGCUCACGCCACCGCGGCGCCUUGGGAACGGGAAGAAAAGGCGCCGGCGACAAAAGCCCUCCUCGCUCGGGCGGGCGCGGGGCGAGCGGGGCCGGGGAGGGCCCCGGCGUCCGGCCCCCGAGCUGGCCCCCGGCCACGGCGCCGCGCGGGAACGCUUUGUCUGCCCGGAGCCGUGAGCCGGAAUGCCAAUGAUCCGGGCAGAGCACGGGCAGCCCCGGCUUGGGGCUGUGGCUGUACGUCGGCGGUGCUUGGUGCUGGGGGCUGUAUGUGCACGGUGCUUGGUGCUAGGGGCUGUACAUCAACAGUGCUUGGUGCUAGGGGCUGUAUCUCCACCGUGCUCGGUGCUAGGGGCUGUAUCUCCACCAUGCUUGGUGCUAGGGGCUGUACAUCCAUGCUGCUUGGUGCUAGGGGCUGUAUGUCCAUGAUGCUCAGUGCUAGGGGCUGUAUCUCCACUGUGCUCGGUGCUAGGGGCUGUAUCUCCACCAUGCUUGGUGCUAGGGGCUGUACGUCCAUGCUGCUUGGUGCUAGGGGCUGUAUCUCCACUGUGCUCGGUGCUGGGGGCUGUAUCUCCACCGUGCUCGGUGCUGGGGGCUGUAUGUUCAUGAUGCUCGGUGCUAGGGACUGCACAUCGGUGCUGCUCGGUGCUGGGGGCCGUGCGCUGGCGGUGCAGAGCCGUGCGCCCACCAUCCCGGCCUCCCGUCGGAGCAGCCCGGCCGCCAGGGACCCRGGCCAGAGCGUGC
This 1145-nucleotide long non-coding RNA is filed under the name Dromaius novaehollandiae (emu). Its description in RNAcentral is "lncRNA (ENSDNVG00000014139.1)". Lineage: Eukaryota; Metazoa; Chordata; Aves; Casuariiformes; Dromaiidae. The record is from RNAcentral.